Molecule: long non-coding RNA, 444 nt
Organism: Monodelphis domestica (gray short-tailed opossum)
Lineage: Eukaryota; Metazoa; Chordata; Mammalia; Didelphimorphia; Didelphidae
Source: RefSeq, a predicted model, not a curated record
GUGGGCCCUGGGGGGGGGGGGGGUUCUGGAGUCUCAGCUCUGGGUCCAAGCUUCAGGCUCACUCUGGGAACUCUUAGUUUCAGCUAGGCCUCAGAGACUCCUUCACUACACAAUAAUUUCAUUUCUUUCUCUCCUUGACGACCCCAGAAACAAGGCAGCUGAAUGGAGGAAUGGAUGGAGCAUUCUUUCCACAGGAAGCUAUGGAGAGGGAAGGGGACCACCAGGAACUGACUUGGCUGCCAGAUACAGUGGGAGAGUACCAUUUAUCAUGAGAGGUAGCAUGUGUUACGGAGAGAGAAACCAGGAAGACCUGAGUUCAAGUCUUACCUCUGACAUGUGGCAAUUACAUGCAACCCUGGGUGCAAGCUGCUGGCCUUCAUUGGUAGGAGUUUCUUAGUUUGGCUGAGGAAUUCCCUAAACCAAAGAAUUUCUUGCCGUUUUGAA